GGUUAAGCUUUUGAAGACCCUACUCUUCCCUGGCCUUGGCCCUGUGCUCCUCCAGAAGGUUGGUCCGUGGAAUGGGGUCCGUCCCCGACCAACAUUAGUGAUACCGAGUGAUGUCGUGCCUGGGCUUAGCAUGACAUCCGUCUUGUCGACGUGCUGUAGAUCAUCGCGUAUAUUUUCCGCUGCUAAAGAUCAUAGCUUAAAUGGUUUGUAUUAUUUUCUCUAGGUUUGAAACUUUGUACUACUUUUAUAAACUCUUGUAAUGUAAUUCCCUAUUAUGUAAAUUGUGAUGGUGAUUGUAUCUCUGGACUCACCAUCGCGUGAGGUAACCUUAUUUGAUCCUGUGUAUCGGUGG
RNAcentral lists this long non-coding RNA (352 nucleotides) under Panicum hallii. RNAcentral describes it as "long non-coding RNA (PHAL_LNC000884)". Lineage: Eukaryota; Viridiplantae; Streptophyta; Magnoliopsida; Poales; Poaceae. The record is from RNAcentral.